UACGUAGGGUGCGAGCGUUGUCCGGAAUUAUUGGGCGUAAAGAGCUCGUAGGCGGUCUGUCGCGUCGAUCGUGAAAACUUGGGGCUUAACCCUGAGCUUGCGGUCGAUACGGGCAUGACUGGAGUUCGGCAGGGGAGACUGGAAUUCCUGGUGUAGCGGUGAAAUUCGUAGAUAUUGGGAAGAACACCGGUGGCGAAGGCGGCUCUCUGGACCGAUACUGACGCUGAGGCGCGAAAGCGUGGGGAGCAAACAGG
This 254-nucleotide ribosomal RNA is filed under the name uncultured bacterium. Its description in RNAcentral is "partial 16S ribosomal RNA". It matches the Rfam family "Bacterial small subunit ribosomal RNA", at positions 524 to 776 of the family's 1533-position model. The record is from RNAcentral.